AAAACAUCGCCUCUUGCAAAAAUCAACGUAUAAGAGGUCCUACCUGCCCGGUGACUUAGUUUAACGGCCGCGGUAUCCUGACCGUGCAAAGGUAGCGCAAUCACUUGUCUUUUAAAUAGAGACCUGUAUGAAUGGUGGAACGAGGGCUUAACUGUCUCCCUUUUCUGAUCAGUGAAAUUGAUCUGCCCGUGCAGAAGCGGACAUAAACAUGCAAGACGAGAAGACCCUAUGGAGCUUCAGACAUAAAGUCAUCUACAUUAAAGUCCUCUAAUAAAAGAGAUAAAACAAAAUUGCAACUGACUGAUGUCUUCGGUUGGGGCGACCACGGAGGAAAAAAAACCCUCCAUGCGGAAUGGGAGAUUCUCCUAAAACCACGAGGCACACCUCUAAGUCACAGAACUUCUGACCCAAAGAUCCGGCAUUUAGCCGAUUAACGAAACAAGUUACCCUAGGGAUAACAGCGCAAUCCCCUUCGAGAGUCCUUAUCGACAAGGGGGUUUACGACCUCGAUGUUGGAUCAGGACAUCCUAAUGGUGUAGCCGCUAUUAAGGGUUCGUUUGGUCAACGAUUAA
RNAcentral lists this ribosomal RNA (572 nucleotides) under Moenkhausia copei. RNAcentral's name for it is "partial 16S ribosomal RNA". It matches the Rfam family "Bacterial large subunit ribosomal RNA", at positions 1810 to 2591 of the family's 2925-position model. Lineage: Eukaryota; Metazoa; Chordata; Actinopteri; Characiformes; Acestrorhamphidae. The record is from RNAcentral.